GCGGGUGUGUCUUAGUGGUUGAGCGCCGGAUUGCCAGUCCGGUCAUCGGAGUUCGAUUCUCCGCACUCGCUCCA
Molecule: transfer RNA, 74 nt
Filed under: Acidobacteriota bacterium
Lineage: Bacteria; Pseudomonadati; Acidobacteriota
Description: tRNA-Gly
Rfam family: tRNA
About the family: Transfer RNA (tRNA) molecules are approximately 80 nucleotides in length. Their secondary structure includes four short double-helical elements and three loops (D, anti-codon, and T loops). Further hydrogen bonds mediate the characteristic L-shaped molecular structure. tRNAs have two regions of fundamental functional importance: the anti-codon, which is responsible for specific mRNA codon recognition, and the 3' end, to which the tRNAs corresponding amino acid is attached (by aminoacyl-tRNA synthetases). tRNAs cope with the degeneracy of the genetic code in two manners: having more than one tRNA (with a specific anti-codon) for a particular amino acid; and 'wobble' base-pairing, i.e. permitting non-standard base-pairing at the 3rd anti-codon position.
Source: RNAcentral